GUGAGUCAUCGAAUCUUUGAACGCAAAUUGCGCUCGAGGCCUCGGCUAAGAGCAUGUCUGGCUCAGCGUCGGCUUACUACCCUCAAUCAAUUACCUUGUGAUGAUUGGUUGGAGCUGGCUUUCCGGUGUUCCGGUUAGGUUGCCGGUCAGCUGAAAAACAUUCGUGCUGUGGGAGUCGCUUUCCCUUCAAAAGGAAAGCCGAGUUCCGAUUUGGUAGGUGACCUUUGCCGGUUGCAUGCCUUCGUUGCUCGUUUUGGCUUUCAUGAUAGCGUGUGCAGGACGCCUUUUUGGCUUUCGACC
RNAcentral lists this unclassified non-coding RNA (300 nucleotides) under uncultured fungus. RNAcentral describes it as "sequence contains 5.8S rRNA gene, ITS2". The stretch from base 1 to 71 matches the Rfam family "5.8S ribosomal RNA", at positions 84 to 154 of the family's 154-position model. Lineage: Eukaryota; Fungi. The record is from RNAcentral.